This 253-nucleotide ribosomal RNA is filed under the name uncultured bacterium. Its description in RNAcentral is "partial 16S ribosomal RNA". It matches the Rfam family "Bacterial small subunit ribosomal RNA", at positions 524 to 776 of the family's 1533-position model. The record is from RNAcentral.
UGCAGAGGUCCCAAGCGUUGUUCGGAUUCACUGGGCGUAAAGGGUGCGUAGGCGGUCGGGUAAGUCUGACGUGAAAUCUUCAAGCUCAACUUGGAAACUGCGUCGGAUACUAUUCGGCUAGAGGAAUGGAGGGGAGACUGGAAUACUUGGUGUAGCAGUGAAAUGCGUAGAUAUCAAGUGGAACACCAGUGGCGAAGGCGAGUCUCUGGACAUUUCCUGACGCUGAGGCACGAAAGCCAGGGGAGCAAACGGG